GUACAACUUUUUUGUAUGUGGAUGGGUACACGGCACUGGUAUAAAGAAAUUAAAGGAUGGGAACCAACUAAUAAUGGCAAGGGUUAAUCACUCCCAGAGAUCUACAGAAACACCGUUAAAGACUUGGGUGAUAAUGAAGGAAGAUGGUGAAGUACUGACAGGACAUUGCAAUUGCAUGGCAGGAUUGGCAGAGUCUUGCUCUCAUGUAGG
Dendronephthya gigantea is the source of this 210-nucleotide long non-coding RNA. RefSeq lists it as uncharacterized. The record is from RefSeq and is a predicted model, not a curated record. The transcript has 3 exons. NCBI's taxonomy places the organism in Eukaryota, Metazoa, Cnidaria, Anthozoa, Malacalcyonacea, Nephtheidae.